This 2080-nucleotide small RNA is filed under the name Pongo abelii (Sumatran orangutan). RNAcentral describes it as "processed transcript". The record is from RNAcentral. Lineage: Eukaryota; Metazoa; Chordata; Mammalia; Primates; Hominidae.
CCGCAGGAGAAGCCGAACCGGGUCCGGCGGCCGAAGCGGCCCGCGAGGCGCGGGAGGCAUGAAGUUGGGCGCGCACUGGCCUCGGAGCCGGGGGGAGCCGGGAGCCGCCCGCAUCUAGAGCCCGCGAGCCAGCAGCCAUGUGGAGACCCGGGCCCACGCCGAGGAGCGGCUCCUGAAGAAACUCUUCUCCGGUUACAACAAGUGGUCCCGACCCGUGGCCAACAUCUCAGACGUGGUCCUCGUCCGCUUCGGCCUGUCCAUUGCUCAGCUCAUUGACGUGGAUGAGAAGAACCAGAUGAUGACCACGAACGUAUGGGUGAAGCAGGAGUGGCACGACUACAAGCUGCGCUGGGACCCAGCUGACUACGAGAAUGUCACCUCCAUCCGCAUCCCCUCUGAGCUCAUCUGGCGGCCGGACAUCGUCCUCUACAACAAUGCCGACGGGGACUUCGCGGUCACCCACCUGACCAAGGCCCACCUGUUCCAUGACGGGCGGGUGCAGUGGACUCCCCCGGCCAUUUACAAGAGCUCCUGCAGCAUCGACGUCACCUUCUUCCCCUUUGACCAGCAGAACUGCACCAUGAAAUUCGGCUCCUGGACCUACGACAAGGCCAAGAUCGACCUGGUGAACAUGCACAGCCGCGUGGACCAGCUGGACUUCUGGGAGAGUGGUGAGUGGGUCAUCGUGGACGCCGUGGGCACCUACAACACCAGGAAGUAUGAGUGCUGUGCCGAGAUCUACCCAGACAUCACCUACGCCUUCGUCAUCCGGCGGCUGCCGCUCUUCUACACCAUCAACCUCAUCAUCCCCUGCCUGCUCAUCUCCUGCCUCACCGUGCUGGUCUUCUACCUGCCCUCUGAGUGCGGCGAGAAGAUCACACUGUGCAUCUCCGUGCUGCUGUCACUCACCGUCUUCCUGCUGCUCAUCACCGAGAUCAUCCCGUCCACCUCACUGGUCAUCCCGCUCAUUGGCGAGUACCUGCUGUUCACCAUGAUUUUCGUCACCCUGUCCAUCGUCAUCACGGUCUUCGUGCUCAAUGUGCACCACCGCUCGCCGCGCACGCACACCAUGCCCACCUGGGUACGCAGGGUCUUCCUGGACAUCGUGCCGCGCCUGCUCCUCAUGAAGCGGCCGUCCGUGGUCAAGGACAAUUGCCGGCGGCUCAUCGAGUCCAUGCACAAGAUGGCCAGUGCCCCGCGCUUCUGGCCCGAGCCAGAGGGGGAGCCCCCCGCCACGAGCGGCACCCAGAGCCGGCAUCCGCCCUCACCGUCCUUCUGCGUCCCCCUGGAUGUGCCAGCUGAGCCUGGGCCUGCCUGCAAGUCAUCCUCCGACCAGCUCCCUGCUCUGCAGCCCCCAGAAGCUGAGAAAGCCAGCCCCCACCCCUCGCCUGGACCCUGCCACCCACCCCACAGCACCCAGGCACCAGGGCUGGCCAAAGCCAGGUCCCUCAGCGUCCAGCACAUGUCCAGCCCUGGCGAAGCAGUAGAAGGCGGCGUCCGGUGCCGGUCUCGGAGCAUCCAGUACUGUGUUCCCCGAGACGAUGCUGCCCCCGAGGCAGAUGGCCAGGCUGCCGGCGCCCUGGCCUCUCGCAAGACCUACUCGGCUGAGCUCCCACCCCCAGACCAGCCCUCUCCGUGCAAAUGCACAUGCAAGAAGGAGCCCUCUUCGGUGUCCCCGAGCGCCACGGUCAAGGCCCGCAGCACCAAAGCGCUGCCCCGGCACCUGCCCCUGUCGCCGGCCCUGACCCGGGCGGUGGAGGGUGUCCAGUACAUUGCAGACCACCUGAAGGCCGAAGACACAGACUUCUCGGUGAAGGAGGACUGGAAGUACGUGGCCAUGGUCAUCGACCGCAUCUUUCUCUGGAUGUUCAUCAUCGUCUGCCUGCUGGGGACCGUGGGCCUCUUCCUGCCGCCCUGGCUGGCUGGCAUGAUCUAGGAAGGGACCGGGAGCCUGUGCGGCCUGGGGCUGCAGCGCACGGGGUCAGCAUCCAUGCGGCCGGCCUGGGGCCGGGCUGGCUCAUCCCUGGACUCUGCGAGGUCACACAUUUGCCAAAUUAUCCUUCCUGUUCUGUGUCUGCUG